RNAcentral lists this ribosomal RNA (253 nucleotides) under uncultured bacterium. RNAcentral's name for it is "partial 16S ribosomal RNA". It matches the Rfam family "Bacterial small subunit ribosomal RNA", at positions 524 to 776 of the family's 1533-position model. The record is from RNAcentral.
UACGUAGGUGGCAAGCGUUGUCCGGAUUUAUUGGGCGUAAAGCGCGCGCAGGUGGUGCGGUAAGUCUGCCGUGAAAUCUCCCGGCUCAACUGGGAGGGGGCGGUGGAGACUGCCGGACUGGAGGGACUCAGAGGCCGGUGGAAUUCCCGGUGUAGUGGUGAAAUGCGUAGAGAUCGGGAGGAACACCAGUGGCGAAGGCGGCCGGCUGGGGGUGCCCUGACGCUGAGGCGCGAAAGCGUGGGGAGCAAACAGG